RNAcentral lists this ribosomal RNA (306 nucleotides) under Protoplasa fitchii. RNAcentral describes it as "partial 12S ribosomal RNA". The record is from RNAcentral. Lineage: Eukaryota; Metazoa; Arthropoda; Insecta; Diptera; Tanyderidae.
ACCUGUUCUAUAAUCGAUAGUCCACGAUGUACCUGGCUUAAAUUAGUAUUACAGUAUGUAUACCGCCGUCAUUAGAAAAUCUUGAAAAAGAAUUAAUUUUCUUAAUUUAUUAUUAUAAAAAAUGUCAGGUCAAGGUGCAGCUUAUAUUUAAGAAGAAAUGGGUUACAAUAAAUAAAUUUAUAUAGUUAUUUAAUUGAAAUAAUUAAAUUUAAAGUGGAUUUGAUAGUAAAAUUAUAAAGAUAAAUAAUUUGAUUAAAGCUCUAAAAUAUGCACAUAUCGCCCGUCGCUCUUGUUAAUAAAAUAAGA